CCUACGGGUGGCAGCAGUGGGGAAUAUUGGACAAUGGGCGAAACCUGAUCCAGCCAUGCCGCGUGUGUGAAGAGGUCUUCGGAUUGUAAGCACUUUAAGUUGGGAGGCGUUACCGACAGAAUAAGCACCGGCUAACUCUGUGCCAGCAGCCGCGGUAAUACAGAGGGUGCAAGCGUUAAUCGGAAUGACUGGGCGUAAAGCGCGCGUAGGUGGUUUGUUAAGUUGGAUGUGAAAGCCCCGGGCUCAACCUGGGAACUGCAUCCAAAACUGGCAAGCUAGAGUACGGUAGAGGGUGGUGGAAUUUCCUGUGUAGCGGUGAAAUGCGUAGAUAUAGGAAGGAACACCAGUGGCGAAGGCGACCACCUGGACUGAACUGACACUGAGGUGCGAAAGCGUGGGGAGCAAACAGGAUUAGAUACCCUUGUAGUC
RNAcentral lists this ribosomal RNA (429 nucleotides) under uncultured bacterium. RNAcentral describes it as "partial 16S ribosomal RNA". It matches the Rfam family "Bacterial small subunit ribosomal RNA", at positions 338 to 795 of the family's 1533-position model. The record is from RNAcentral.